UUAAUCUACCCCAAAAGACAUCAUAUGCCUUGUUGACGCUGCUUAACCAAAUCGAUUAGAUGCUCAUAACUCCAACUUUGACUCCUUGUAUGGUCAACCUCUUCAACAAUCUUUAGAAAAUCCCCCUUUCCAAAAGCAACAAGAACCAAAGGGUCAGUUUUUAACUCCACAACAUCCCCAAAAAAUCUCAUCUUUAUCCUAUAAUCCAACUCAUCAAACCCAAACCCGAAACCGGACCCAUGUGCAUCAUACAAAAUCCCACAAGUAACAAUGUCGGGUUUCACAUUUCGAGCUUCCAUUUCCAAGAUCACGCCUUUAAAGCGUCUAAAAUCUUUCAUUUUGGCAUACGCACAUAGUAUUGUGUUUGCGAUCGUCACACUCCAUUUAACUUUCCUGUAGUCCAUUUCACGCACGAUAGACUCCAUUCCUGUUCGGCUCAGAAGACAAGCAUGCGAAAGCAUUCUUAAACACCACACGAUGUUCGUGUUGCCGGUUCUGGAAUAAAGUCUGAUACCCAUAUCGUCUAACUUAGAAAACAUGUACUUUUCUAUAUAAACAGCGGCCACUUUACGAAUCAAAUCAUCGUUCAAAUAAACUCUCGGUUUCAACCUCAUAACUGUUCUAUAAAUCUUUUCCAUCUUCUCCAAAUCCCCAAAACUAGCAUACGCCUCGAGCAUUGCCAUGACGGUAGAAGCUUCAAGAUCCAUCUUUUUCGAGAUCACAAUCCUGUAUGUUCUUUCCAUCCUCUUGAUCAAUCCAGCUAGUGAAAACUCCCUAAUUAGCAAAUUGUAAGUCGACUGAUCCGGGAAGCAUCCGUUCGAUUCCAUUCUCUUCACACAUUUCGCCAUUUCAUCAUACAAACCAUUCUUCGCAUAUGAUUUAAUCAGCCCGUUAUAUAUUGAAGCAUGUGGCUUCAUUUCAUUAUCUUCCAUCACCUUAAGAUGAAACAACGCGUCUUCAAAUCGAUCGCUUUUAACAAAACCGUAGACGAUCAUACGGUAAAUCUCGGACGAUGGCUGCACACCCCAAAUAUCUUUCAUCUGGUUUAAAGCCAACACUGCAAUAUCAACCAAUCCCUCCUCAACCAACAGCCUUACAAUUCUCUCGUAAUUAAACACGCUAACUCGAGAUUCGUCUUUGCUAGACCAUUCAUCAAACACCUGGUGUGCAACAUUCCAACAUUACAAAACAUGGAAAUUUAACAAUGUAAAGCUCAAUUCCCCCAAACGGGUACCCUUUCAAUUCAUCUAACAAACAAAAUUCAAAACAAAUCAACAUUCACCUGAAGAAUCUGGUUCGAUCUUGAGGUUUGAUUGAGGAAUCCAACAACAGCCCAGAAGAGUUCUUUGCUCCAAUCUCCAUCUUCUUCGAGAAUACGAACUGGGUCAGAGUCUUUAUGCUUGAGCUUCUCGAAUAGAGUUCGUUUGAGGGUCCAAUUUUCGUGGAGAUCGUCGAAUUGGACUGUGUUUUGUUUGUAGGAGGUGGUUUUACGACGUGGGAUAUGUGCUGAAGGAGGGAGUUUGGAUGAACGAGAGAAUUGGGGUUUUGUACGUGUUAGGGCUCUGGUUGAGGGUUUGGGAAGAACUAGGGUUUUACAGAGGAAGAUUUUGUCAGUAAUGGUCAUGGAAGGAAGGAGUAUCUCCAUGGCAGUUCUGUAAGUGUGUGUGUGUGUGUUUUUCUCUUUGAGAGGAAACUGUUAUUUAAACGAUGAUUAUGUUUUUUUUUAUUUUAUUUUAUUUUAUUAUUUUUUUUUUGAAAGGCUUAAACACUGAUUAUGUGCUAUUUGUUUUUUAAAAGGUAAAAUGUUCGGACAUAUUUUUGAACAUACCUAGAAAAAAAGAUAAAUCAAAACUCUGUAGGAAGAAAAUUGAUUGUUUUUUUAAUAUAUGUAGACUUUUAAAAUAAACUGGUGGUGGUGGUGGGUGGUUGUGGUGGUAUUGGACGGUGGUGGACGUGGACGGUGGGUGGUGGUGGACGGUUGACGGUGGUGAUGAUGGACGGUCGUGGGUGAUGGACGGUGGUGGUGGGUGGUGGUGUGACCUUAGAAUAUCUUAGAAGUAGCUCGGCUAAGUCUGCACCAAGAAGAGAUCGCGCAGACGUUUUUUAGUGAAACGUCUUCGUAAAAACAAACAGUCUGCAUACGGUAAUGUUUGCUCGUGGUCUGCUAUUAGAAUGAGUUAAAUCGUAACGGUGUUUGUAUUAGUGUGUAUUUCUUAACAUUAAACUAUUAAAAUGUACAAUGUUAUUAGAAUAUAAGUCAAAUUUGAAAAAAAAAAUUGAGGAUCUGACACAAAAAGUAGUUUGAGGUUUGAUAUAUUGAUACGGUGGAAGCAAAACACGUUACAAUACCCAACUCUCUAAAAAUGAUAAAGAUAUAUUGGUGGUUCUACUUUCAGUCGUUGUUUAAGUUGAUUUUCAAUACCGGUGGAGGAUAUUAG
Molecule: long non-coding RNA, 2438 nt
Filed under: Helianthus annuus (common sunflower)
Lineage: Eukaryota; Viridiplantae; Streptophyta; Magnoliopsida; Asterales; Asteraceae
Description: hypothetical non coding rna
Source: RNAcentral